AUACGUAGGUGGCAAGCGUUGUCCGGAAUUAUUGGGCGUAAAGCGCAUGUAGGCGGUUUGGUAAGUCGGUCGUGAAAAUGCGGUGCUUAACGCCGUAUGGCGAUUGAAACUGCUGAACUUGAGUGCAGGAGAGGAAAGGGGAACUCCCAGUGUAGCGGUGAAAUGCGUAGAUAUUGGGAAGAACACCGGUGGCGAAGGCGCCUUUCUGGACUGUGUCUGACGCUCAGAUGCGAAAGCCAGGGUAGCGAACGGGAUUGGAUACCCCGGUAGUCCUGGCCGUAAACGAUGGGUACUAGGUGUGGGAGGUAUCGACUCCUUCCGUGCCGGAGUUAACGCAAUAAGUACCCCGCCUGGGGAGUACGGCCGCAAGGCUUAAACUCAAAGGAAUUGACGGGG
This 396-nucleotide ribosomal RNA is filed under the name uncultured bacterium. RNAcentral's name for it is "partial 16S ribosomal RNA". It matches the Rfam family "Bacterial small subunit ribosomal RNA", at positions 523 to 918 of the family's 1533-position model. The record is from RNAcentral.